GACGAACGCUGGCGGCGUGCUUAACACAUGCAAGUCGAACGAAGAGCGAUGGAAGCUUGCUUCUAUCAAUCUUAGUGGCGAACGGGUGAGUAACGCGUAAUCAACCUGCCCUUCAGAGGGGGACAACAGUUGGAAACGACUGGUAAUACCGCAUACGAUUUAAUCUCGGCAUCGAGGAUAGAUGAAAGGUGGCCUCUACAUGUAAGCUAUCACUGAAGGAGGGGAUUGCGUCUGAUUAGCUAGUUGGAGGGGUAACGGCCCACCAAGGCGAUGAUCAGUAGCCGGUCUGAGAGGAUGAACGGCCACAUUGGGACUGAGACACGGCCCAGACUCCUACGGGAGGCAGCAGUGGGGAAUCUUCCGCAAUGGACGAAAGUCUGACGGAGCAACGCCGCGUGAGUGAUGACGGCCUUCGGGUUGUAAAGCUCUGUUAAUCGGGACGAAAGGCCUUCUUGCGAAUAGUGAGAAGGAUUGACGGUACCGGAAUAGAAAGCCACG
This 498-nucleotide ribosomal RNA is filed under the name Veillonella parvula. Its description in RNAcentral is "bacterial SSU rRNA". It matches the Rfam family "Bacterial small subunit ribosomal RNA", at positions 28 to 495 of the family's 1533-position model. The record is from RNAcentral. Lineage: Bacteria; Bacillati; Bacillota; Negativicutes; Veillonellales; Veillonellaceae.